Long non-coding RNA from Bicyclus anynana (squinting bush brown), 7161 nucleotides. RefSeq lists it as uncharacterized. The record is from RefSeq and is a predicted model, not a curated record. NCBI's taxonomy places the organism in Eukaryota, Metazoa, Arthropoda, Insecta, Lepidoptera, Nymphalidae. The transcript has 7 exons.
GCAGGCCGGGUCAACUCUCGAACAAAGUUUGGUUAUACCUACGGGGGCUAGACCUGUGGUGUCAUCAUCCAUACGGUUCUACCGUCUGGUAGUUGUAGCAAUAUUAUUAUCGUUAGUAGCUCACGCCUGACAUAAUAUUUUGAUAAAUCUAAUACAUUUUUAGAUUUAAAUAUGACUUUAAUAACUGAAUAAAUACUUUUCUUCUACAAAAAUAUAGAGAGACACUCUCGUUGAAUAUUGUUUUAGUAACGUAUGGGUAAGAUUUUCUAAACGAAGUGUGGCAACCCCAAUUACUUAAUAAAAAAUAAAUAUGUUAUAAAAUGAAAAUGGCGUCAUUUCACCAAAUAAAACACGAAUUCACGAAUAAUAAAAUAAAUGUUUGCCACGGCCUGUUAAUAUUUAUGAAGACCUCUUCAUGGAUUGGAUUUAAGCUUUUUGCUGUGUAAUAUCCUCGCCAUUCUUGAUGUUGAGAAGAUCUAUAAGUCUUUUGCGUUUCAUCUGAGUGUUGUGGUUUUUCAUUAUGUUAAAAAUAAGACUUUGUUAGUUCAAGUGUCUCUAUAACUAUGAAGAAGAACAAAAGAAAAUGCUUUGAGUGUGGUUCUUCGCCUGCCGAUGAUCCAGAGAAGACCCUACAGAGAUUACAGAAAUUUGAUUCUACAAAUUUAGUCUCCGGUAGCUUAAUCUGGAGCAACAUAAGGUUAAUUAUGAAAUGGUAAUGAAAAUAAACAUCUGAGAAAAGCAAAUUCCAUGAACUAAUUUGAAAGUAUCUGUUACCAGUUCAAUAUUAAACCACAGGUAUAUGUACUAAAGGCAGGUAGAGUAAAAUUUGAGUUUUAUUUUUGAAUCUAUAAUAAGUAGUUUAUAAUUAUGUAAUGAUGAACCAGAACAAUUUGUUAAUUUGAAACUACAAUUACAAGUUUUUAUAAUUAUGUUAGGCACUAGGCAGACUAAUGAAGAGUAUGUUAGUUUACUUUGUACAAAAAUCUGUUCUCGAUGGUUCACAGUAGUAAUUAGUUUGAUUCUAAGUCAGAGGCAAUCAAAUACAAUGUUUUAUCACGACUCAUAGCAACAUACCUUUGGCGCUAGAUCAAUAUCUAGGAUGAUUUCACUAAAAAUGGAAAAAUAAAAAUUUUUAAUUAAAGAAAUUCAACCAACUUCAAAAACAUAAAACAUACUGGCUAAACUAAAAAGCGAAAAAUAAUAUUAUACUAAGUUCACUCACACCUUCAAACUGAUCAUCAGUUAGAACAUAAUAUGAUAUAUAGAACUUAGUAUAAUGUUAUUUUUCGUUUUUUAGUUUAGUAAGUAUGUUUUUGAAGUCGGUUGACUUGUUUUUAUUAAAGUUUUUUAAUACACAUGUUCCUUAGACAUUUUAAGUUAAUUUUCCUUAUAGAACUUGGAGCUACCCUAGAGUUAUGGGAAAUACUCCCGAGCACCCUGUAGAUGCUACUUAAUCCUACUAAUCCUUCAUUCAUCAGUAUUGGUUGGUGGGCUUGGAGUUUAUAAAGAAUAUUAAGUAUAUAUAAUUUAUUUAUGAACAUUCCUCAUUCAGUUGAGCUUUUACUACCCAUAACACAAGCUAAGCUUACUUUGAGACUAGUUAGUGAUGUGUGUAAUGUGUUAAUAUAAAUAUUAACCAACUUUCUGCAGUUUGAGAAUACGCGGAUAAAAUAUAGCCUAUGAUACUCAGAAAUAACGUGGCUUUCUAGUGGUAAAAGAAUUUUCAAAAUUGGUUCAGUAGAUCCAGAGUUUACCUGCUAGAACACCACCAACUUUACCUCUUUAUAAUACAUACUAGCGGACGCCCGCGACUUCGUCCGCGUAAAAAUCGAUGUCAACUUUCAACCCCUAUUUCACAUUCUAUUUUGCAAGUUUUAUAACUUAUACCUUGUAACUAAAAAAAUUAAGGACUUUCCGUACAAACUUUCUACCCCUACUUCACCCAAUUCUGAUUUUGUUUUCACGACAAAAAGUAUCCUAUUAUCCUUCUACGUAUUAUGGUCUCAAAUCGUCUUAAGUAUCGUUUGAAUUCAUUCUGUAGUAUCAGCGUGAUGCCCGGUCAAAAAAAAGGCAAACAGACAGACAAAAAAAUAGAAAAUAUGAGCGUGGUGCGAUGACAAAGGAAAAUAGAGACUUCUAUGCUAAAAUUAUAAUCUUUGGAUCUACUGGACCGAUUUGAAAGAUUGUUUUAUCAAUAGAAAGUUACGUUAUUUGCGAGUGUCAUAGGCUAUGUUUGAUUCCCAUAUUCACACAGAAACGGGAACCACGUAAUGGAAAGCGCGGGGCGUCAUGUAGCGGACUUUCUGCGUCUUUGAGAAAUUUUGUAUUAUCUCCAAAACUAAUUAACAUAGUAUAAAGGGCAAAUCUUAUCUCCAUAAUAUCCUUGUGAUUAUUAAAUAAUUUAUUUUGAUAAGGAUUUAAGUUAAGUAGCAUAAAUAAUGACGCAAACCUAAGUAUAUAAAAUUUAUAAUUUUCAAAACACAAAAGGUACUAUAUCUGCUAAUAUAUAGAAGAUAGAUAUACGGUGUCGCGGACUUUUUUGUAGAACUUUUAAAGAUACAUAAAGCCUCCAUACAUUAAUUUCAAUUUUACACAAUGGUUUAGGCAGCGCAUGCGAAUAAGUCUGCUUAAGAGGAUUUUCGGUCCGACCUGUAUGACAAAAACUGUGUUAACUCGGCGAAUAUAUAUCAUGCUAAUAUAAAAUAUAGCCUAUAGCACUCCCCGAUAAUGUAGCAUUCUACUGGUGAAAGAAUUUUUGAAAUCGGACCAGUAGUUCCGAAAAUUACCCCAUUUAAAAAAUGUGACAAACUUACAAACUUUACCUCUUUAUAAUAUUAGUAUAGAUUAACAACCCAUUUUCGGCUCAUUGUUGAGCACGAGUCACUUCUCAGGACGAGAGGGGUUAGGCCUUAGUCCUCCAUGCUGGCCCAAUGCGGAUUGGCAGACUUCACACACCUAGACAAUUAAGAAAAUUCUCAGUUAUGCAGGUUUCUUCACAAUGUUAUGCUUCACCAUUUAAGACAUUUAAUUUAAAAAUGGGUUGAAUACAUAUCAGUAUAGAUUUUUAUUGUGAGUUUCUUGAAAGAAGGAAAUGCUCAAUAUUUCAUAGACCAACCCAGGACUCAAACUCAGAAUUUCAUGAUAGUUACACUGAACCAAUAAAUCAGUUAGAGAGAGAGAGAGAGAGAGAGAUAAAUAAAAAGAGUUUAUUAUGUAUUAAAAUUAAAAUAUAUACCUAAUGCUUUCAGCAAUCCUGCUUCUUCACAUGAAUUUUACCCGCAUGAUGACGGUUUUUAAUAUAAAAAAUAUUUACACAAUGUCUCAAAAAGCAAUCAAAGCUUUCAAAAAUGAACAAUGUUCGCAGAAGUUCAGUACCAACAAACUCACAAAAAAUGAGCCCAAAAUUUAGCAUUACUUGCAAGCCAGACUAAGAAAUUUCAAGAAGAUAAUUUAAAAGAAGACAAUAGAAUAAAAUAAUAUUAACACACAAUGCUUAGCAAAUAUAGCAUUAACAGAUGGAAACCAGGCAAUAGGUGUAGCAAAAUAGAAGAUGAAGGUCUAGCUGUGCCAGUCAGUGCUGAGCCACACAGUUGCUGCUGGCAUGUUUGCAAAAUAGCACAAGGUGUAGCAAAAUAGAAGAUGAAGGUCUAGCUGUGCCAGUCAGUGCUGAGCCACACAGUUGCUGCUGGCAUGUUUGCAAAAUAGCACAAGGUAACCUGCUUCAUCGUUAUUAUCAACCUAUUUUAACGGCAUUACAGGGCCAGGCCUUAUAGAAAAGUGAUUAUGGAGCUGAGACCCACCACACUGCUCCAUUGCUGUUGGAGGGCUUAGGGUGAUAAUGUUCAAUUAAUUAAUAACCACUAUCUGAUGCUAAUGAUAAUAAUCGGGAUUAAAGGCUUCCCAACUCCAAGAUGAGAAUUUAACUGAAUUUUUUUUCACAUUUUUAACCUACUUUAAAAAAAGAAGGAGGUUCUCAAUUCGAGUCUAUGUUUUUUUUUUCAUAAUCUAUUCUUCACAUUUUUCACUUAAUAAAAUUCUUUUAGUUUUUAUUUGUUUUUUAACUGGUGAAAAUACAUAAAAUUUAUUCUUUAUGUUUAAAUUUUCAGGUGUAGCAAAAUAGAAGAUGAAGGUCUAGCUGUGCCAGUCAGUGCUGAGCCACACAGUUGCUGCUGGCAUGUUUGCAAAAUAGCACAAGGUGUAGCAAAAUAGAAGAUGAAGGUCUAGCUGUGCCAGUCAGUGCUGAGCCACACAGUUGCUGCUGGCAUGUUUGCAAUAUAGCACAAGGUGCUGUAAAAUGAAGAUAUAUUGUUAAAUAUCAUGAGAUAGAAAUAAAAGAUGAAGGUCUAGCUGUACCCGUCCCGAGCCACACUACUGCAGCCACGUUGCUGCUGGCAUUUUUGCAAAAUAGCACAAGGUCACAACAAUUGAUGUAACAAAUAUAAUCAAUGGACCAGGCACCUGCACCAUGAUUCUUUGGAAUACUAAAAUUCGUCUCUUUAUAUCUGUACUUCUCAUAAUGAAAAAUGUCACGUUUUUAUGAAAGAAAUAAUGGAAUCAAAUAAUAAAUAAAACAAGCAUAUGCUGGAAGUCCUCAGAAACAGCUCCGACUUUGAUGAUUUUUUUUAAAGUCAUGUUUUUUAUGUUAUUAAAAAUCAGAAAUGUUUUGGUGGACGAAAUUAUUUAAAUUGUUAAAAAAUAUCUAUGCUAUUUAUACAUAUUUUUUUUUUAAAUACAACCGACUUCAAAAAUACAAACUUAUGCAGAAAACUAACAAACGAAAGAAAAUAUUAUAAUAUUUUCUAUCUAUUGAUCACUUUGAAGGCGGUGCCAAUGUUCCAAUUAAUGGGCCGAGAAUUAGUUAUCUAUUGUUUACUAGCUAUAGGGCUCGAAUUGCUUUUUCAUAUCUUUAAAAGACUAUCUUCGGAAUGAACCCUUUAUAAUAAAAAAGUAUUAUCAAAAUCGGACCACUCAAUAAAAAGUUAUACUUGGUUGUAUACUAAAAUUAAUGGUUAAACAAUCAAUCAUCCCCUGUUUUCGUAAUGUAAAACCAAGAAUAACUGUUAACAUGAGUAGUCCGAUUUUGAUAAUUCUUUUGAUUGAUCAUUCUUGAUUGUUUUAGUUUAAAACCAAGCAUGUCUUCGAAUUCCGAUUUGAAUAACUUUGUUUUAAAUAGAAAGGGUAUAUUCCGACAAUGGUCCCAAAUCAUUAUAAAUUUAAAAAAAACGAAGAUGACUGGUUAUUUUCCCAUUAAUUGUAUUGUAAAACUAUGCGUAACUUAUUACGAAGUGGUCCGAUUUCGUAAAUUCUUUAUAGACUGUAAAGCUCCCAUAUAAAUUUUAAAAAACAAUUCCAAUCCUAAAUGUGCGAUUGAUUGUUUUCUCAUUCAUUUUAAUGUAAAACCAAGCAUAACUUUUUAUUGGGUGGUUCGAUUUUGAUUAUUCUUUUUUUGAUAGAAAGGGUAUAUUCCUAAAAGUCUCAUAAAAUGUUGGAAAACAAUUUCAAACCUAAUAGUAGGAAAAUAGAAGAUGAUUAAUUGUUUUCCCAUUUAUUGUAAUGUUAAACUAUGCGUAACUUUUUACUGAGUGGACCGAUUUUGAAAAUUCUUUACUUUUUGUAAAGGGUUUAUUUCGAAGUAGGUCCCAUAUAAAUUUCGGAAAACAAUUCGAAUCCUUAAGGUGGAAAAAAACUGUACGAUUGAUUGCCUACCCAUUAAUUGUACAAUUGGCACCGGCUUCAAAGUAAUCAGUAGAUAGAAAAUAUUAUAAUGUUUUCUUCAGCUUAUUAGUUUACUGCAUAACUUUGUGUUUUUGAAGUCGGUAGUGUUUGUUUUUUAAUUAUUUAUUAUAUAAAUAGCAUAACUAUUGUUGAAUAGUAUAAAUCGUUCCAUCCUCACUCCAAAAGGUUUCUGAUGUCAAAUAAUAUGAAGAAACAAACUGAACAAAAAUAAUCAUCAAAAUCAGAGCUGUUUCUGAGGAAGUAGAGGGUAAAUGCUCUAUUGAUUCGCCUAAAAGUAAUAUUAUGAUUUUUUAUCGCAUUAGGUUGUAAAGUUCGGCUAGUGAAAGUAGAGACUGAAAUUGCCCGCCAAAUUUAAAAAUCAUAUAAACAAAGUAAAAAAACAUGCGUUUUCAUAAUUUACUUAAAUUAGUUUUUAUUUGUGAAUACAUUAUUACCUAUACUAUAAGUGUUAAACUCAGUUAUUCCAAUAUUUGCACUAUAAUUUUGAGAAUUUACUCCGGGCUAAUUUGGCGGGUGAUUUCAGUUUCUACUUUCAUUAGCCAAAUUCUAAUAAUUUUAUUGUUUAUGAAAUUUAUACUAAUUAGAAAGAGGAAUAAUUUGAUUAUUUGUUUGUUUGCAUUGAAUAGGCUCUGAAACUACUUUGCUGAUUUAAAAAUUUCUUACAGCAUUAUAAUCAUGGAUUAGGCCAUAAUUGUUAUCUCUGUAUUCCCACGGGAACGAGAACUACGCUGGUGAAACUGCGUGACGUUUGCAUAGUUUAUCAUAUGUACAAAUAUCCCGACAAUCUAUAUUUUUAUGUAUGAAUUGGUUAAGUCAUAAUUGACUUGAUUUUCCCAAAUAUAUCAGUGAAGUCACCCAAUUGAUGCAUAGAUAUAUUUUUAUUUUGGUUUUCAUUUUACUUUAAAGAUAAAAUUUAGUUUUAGAAGCAAAAUGAAUAUAUGUAGAUUACAUUUUAGGUGCUGAUGUUUACUUAGUUAUUGAUUAAGUGCAUAAGAUUUUUUAUUUGAUAAUAAAGACAUUUCAACUUGAAACUGUUAUUCUUUCUAUUGUUUAAUUUAUUAUAUACAAUUACUUGUUACUAAAAUAUUGUGCUAUUAUAUUGUUUUUAAUAUUUUCACAGUUCAGCUUUUGGGGACGGAGUGGUUUUAAAAUAAAUAUUUUUAAAAAUCUGUUUAAAUUAAUUAAUUAAUCGACAGAGUUUAUAAAUAUCUGUUUAAAUUAAUUAAUUAAUCGAAAUGGUUUUUAAAAAUAUUUAUUUUAAAGCUAUUCCGUCUACAAAAGCUGAACUGUGAAAAUUUAAAAACAAUAUAUUAGCUUUGAAUUUCCCGCGUUGGCAAAUUGUUUCAAUGGGGGCAUUCCACAGAUGGCGGUAAUUUUAGUGCCGCUUUUUUUGUAUGAGGUUGGUAUUCUUCUCCUGAGUAAAUA